RNAcentral lists this ribosomal RNA (255 nucleotides) under uncultured bacterium. RNAcentral's name for it is "partial 16S ribosomal RNA". It matches the Rfam family "Bacterial small subunit ribosomal RNA", at positions 524 to 777 of the family's 1533-position model. The record is from RNAcentral.
UACGGAGGGGGCGAGCGUUAUUCGGAAUUAUUGGGCGUAAAGGGCGCGUAGGCGGCCCGGUAAGUCAAAGGUGAAAUCCCUCGGCUCAACUGAGGAACUGCCUUUGAAACUGUCAGGCUUGAGGCCGGGAGGGGGUGGCGGAAUUCCCGGUGUAGUGGUGAAAUGCGUAGAUAUCGGGAGGAACACCAGUGGCGAAGGCGGCUUCCUGGCCCGUUCUUGACGCUGAGGCGCGAAAGCUGAGGGGAGCAAACGGGG